CCUACGGGGGGCAGCAGUGGGGGAUAUUGCACAAUGGGGGGAACCCUGAUGCAGCGACGCCGCGUGGGUGAAGGAGUGCUUCGGCAUGUAAAGCCCUAUCGGCAGGGAAGAAGCAAGACGGUACCUGACUAAGAAGCCCCGGCUAACUACGUGCCAGCAGCCGCGGUAAUACGUAGGGGGCGAGCGUUAUCCGGAUUCACUGGGUGUAAAGGGAGCGUAGACGGCCAUGCAAGCCAGGGGUGAAAGCCCGGGGCGCAACCCCGGGACUGCCCUUGGAACUGCCUGGCUGGAGUGCGGGAGGGGCAGGCGGAAUUCCUGGUGUAGCGGUGAAAUGCGUAGAUAGCAGGAGGAACACCGGCGGCGAAGGCGGCCUGCUGGACCGCGACUGACGUUGAGGCUCGAAAGCGUGGGGAGCAAAUAGGAUUAGAUACCCCAGUAGUC
RNAcentral lists this ribosomal RNA (441 nucleotides) under uncultured bacterium. RNAcentral describes it as "partial 16S ribosomal RNA". It matches the Rfam family "Bacterial small subunit ribosomal RNA", at positions 338 to 795 of the family's 1533-position model. The record is from RNAcentral.